UAGAUGUAAAAGUACAUUAUAGCCUGUUCC
This 30-nucleotide non-coding RNA is filed under the name Rattus norvegicus (Norway rat). The record is from RNAcentral. Lineage: Eukaryota; Metazoa; Chordata; Mammalia; Rodentia; Muridae.